Molecule: transfer RNA, 76 nt
Filed under: Bacteroidales bacterium
Lineage: Bacteria; Pseudomonadati; Bacteroidota; Bacteroidia; Bacteroidales
Description: tRNA-Trp
Rfam family: tRNA
About the family: Transfer RNA (tRNA) molecules are approximately 80 nucleotides in length. Their secondary structure includes four short double-helical elements and three loops (D, anti-codon, and T loops). Further hydrogen bonds mediate the characteristic L-shaped molecular structure. tRNAs have two regions of fundamental functional importance: the anti-codon, which is responsible for specific mRNA codon recognition, and the 3' end, to which the tRNAs corresponding amino acid is attached (by aminoacyl-tRNA synthetases). tRNAs cope with the degeneracy of the genetic code in two manners: having more than one tRNA (with a specific anti-codon) for a particular amino acid; and 'wobble' base-pairing, i.e. permitting non-standard base-pairing at the 3rd anti-codon position.
Source: RNAcentral
AGGCCGGUAGUUCAAUUGGCAGAGCACCGGUCUCCAAAACCGGUUGUUGGGGGUUCGAAUCCCUCCCGGCCUGCCA